UACGGGGGGGGCAAGCGUUGUUCGGAAUUACUGGGCGUAAAGGGUUCGUAGGUGGCUUGUUAAGUCAGACGUGAAAUCCCUCGGCUCAACCGGGGAACUGCGUCUGAGACUGAUGAGCUUGAGUGCAGGAGAGGAGACUGGAAUUUACGGUGUAGCGGUGAAAUGCGUAGAUAUCGUAAGGAAGACCAGUGGCGAAGGCGGGUCUCUGGACAGUUCCUGACGCUGAGGCACGAAGGUCAGGGGAGCAAACGGG
RNAcentral lists this ribosomal RNA (253 nucleotides) under uncultured bacterium. Its description in RNAcentral is "partial 16S ribosomal RNA". It matches the Rfam family "Bacterial small subunit ribosomal RNA", at positions 524 to 776 of the family's 1533-position model. The record is from RNAcentral.